AGCGAACGCUGGCGGCGUGGAUAAGGCAUGCAAGUCGAGCGAUCCCCGCAAGGGAGUAGCGGCAAACGGGUGCGUAACGCGUAGUAACCUACCCUGAAGAGCGGGAUAACUUGGAGAAAUCCNGGCUAAUACCGCAUAUGCCUGCAGGAGCGCAUGCUCCAGCAGGGAAAGAUGGCCUCGACCGCAAGGUUGCUAUCACUUCAGGAGGGACCUGCGUCCCAUCAGCUAGUUGGUAGGGUCACGGCCUACCAAGGCAUUUGACGGGUAGCUAGCCUUAGAGGGCGGUUAGCCACACUGGGACUGAGACACUGCCCAGACUCCUACGGGAGCUGCAGUCGAGAUC
Molecule: ribosomal RNA, 343 nt
Filed under: uncultured bacterium
Lineage: Bacteria
Description: bacterial SSU rRNA
Rfam family: Bacterial small subunit ribosomal RNA
Source: RNAcentral